RNAcentral lists this ribosomal RNA (649 nucleotides) under uncultured bacterium. RNAcentral describes it as "bacterial SSU rRNA". It matches the Rfam family "Bacterial small subunit ribosomal RNA", at positions 8 to 691 of the family's 1533-position model. The record is from RNAcentral.
AGAGUUUGAUCCUGGCUCAGAACGAACGCUGGCGGCAUGCCUAACACAUGCAAGUCGAACGUGAAGCCGUCCUUCGGGGCGGUGGAAAGUGGCGCACGGGUGAGUAACGCGUGGGAACCUGCCCCUUGGUAUGGGAUAACCGUGGGAAACUGCGGCUAAUACCGUAUACGCCCUGAGGGGGAAAGAUUUAUCGCCGAGGGAGGGGCCCGCGUCGGAUUAGGUAGUUGGUGGGGUAACGGCCUACCAAGCCGACGAUCCGUAGCUGGUCUUAGAGGACGGUCAGCCACACUGGGACUGAGACACGGCCCAGACUCCUACGGGAGGCAGCAGUGGGGAAUAUUGGACAAUGGGGGAAACCCUGAUCCAGCAAUGCCGCGUGGGUGACGAAGGCCUUAGGGUUGUAAAGCCCUUUCGGCGGGGAAGAUGAUGACGGUACCCGCAGAAGAAGCCCCGGCUAACUCCGUGCCAGCAGCCGCGGUAAUACGGAGGGGGCUAGCGUUGUUCGGAAUUACUGGGCGUAAAGGGCGUGUAGGCGGCCCGUCAAGUCAUGCGUGAAAGCCCUGGGCUUAACCUAGGAGGUGCGCUUGAAACUGAUGGGCUUGAGGCCGGGAGAAGAGAGUGGAAUUCCCAGUGUACAGGUGAAAUUCGU